GAAAUAUCUCACUCUAGUGUUUUUCCCUGUAAUCAUGUAUGAUUUGCUCUGUUUUUCCCUAUCUUUCAAUAUCCUGGUUAACGUUGGUGUCGUGCUCACAUACCCCAUCCUGAUCUCCAUCGGCACAGUGCUCAGCGUCCCUGGAAAUGCAGCCGUGGAUCUGGUGAAGCACAAAAUGAUCUUCAGCGUGGUGAGGUUGGGAGCCACCAUCAUCAUCUGCAUCGUAUUCCUGCUCAUGCUGCUCCCCGAGGAAUGGGAUGAGAUAACCCUGAGGUUCAUCAACAGCCUGAAGGAGAAGAAGAGUGAGGAUCACGCCGACGAGAUCCCAGAGUCCAGCGUACACACGAGGAGCAGGAGCAGAGCUAACGGGACAGUGUCUGUACCACUGGCUUAGGGCUGGUGGACCUCCCCUGCACGCAGAUGUAUAUUCUGUGAAUAUAGCUGAAAUCCCCUCACCACCUGUAUGCUUAAAAAAAAAUGACAUUUAACCUGAACAAGGGAUGGACUGUAAGAUAAGAGAAAUACAUCUAUAAUAAAUGUUUACAUUUAUACACUUA
This is a long non-coding RNA of Pseudopipra pipra, 557 nucleotides long. RefSeq lists it as uncharacterized. The record is from RefSeq and is a predicted model, not a curated record. NCBI's taxonomy places the organism in Eukaryota, Metazoa, Chordata, Aves, Passeriformes, Pipridae. The transcript is spliced from 2 exons.